RNAcentral lists this ribosomal RNA (293 nucleotides) under uncultured bacterium. Its description in RNAcentral is "partial 16S ribosomal RNA". It matches the Rfam family "Archaeal small subunit ribosomal RNA", at positions 455 to 747 of the family's 1478-position model. The record is from RNAcentral.
GUGCCAGCCGCCGCGGUAAUACCGGCAGCCCAAGUGAUGGCCGCUGUUAUUGGGCCUAAAGCGUCCGUAGCUGGCCGCACAAGUCCGUCGGGAAAUCCACUCGCUUAACGAGUGGGCGUCCGGCGGAAACUGAUCGGCUUGGGACCGGAAGACCCGAGGGGUACGUCCGGGGUAGGAGUGAAAUCCUGUAAUCCUGGACGGACCGUCGGUGGCGAAAGCGCCUCGGGAAGACGGAUCCGACGGUGAGGGACGAAAGCUAGGGUCUCGAACCGGAUUAGAUACCCCAGUAGUCC